GCUGACUCCGGUCUAUAAGCCGCGGUAAUAAGGAGGGAGCCUUCGUGUGUCGGAAUGACGUGGAUGAAAGCGCACGUAGGCGGCUAAUCAAGGCUGAGGUGAAAGCGCUGUGCUCAACCCCGGAACUGCCUUUGAAACUAGGGAGCUAGAAGCUUGGAGAGGGCAGUGGAAUUCCGAGUGUAGAGGUGAAAUUCGUAGAUAUUCGGAAGAACACCAGUGGCGAAGGCGACUGACUGGACAAGUAUUGACGCGGAGGUGCGAAAGCGUGGGGAGCAAACAGGAUUAGAUACCCGGGUAGUC
This 300-nucleotide ribosomal RNA is filed under the name uncultured Bacillus sp. RNAcentral's name for it is "bacterial SSU rRNA". It matches the Rfam family "Bacterial small subunit ribosomal RNA", at positions 496 to 795 of the family's 1533-position model. Lineage: Bacteria; Bacillati; Bacillota; Bacilli; Caryophanales; Bacillaceae. The record is from RNAcentral.